Molecule: ribosomal RNA, 406 nt
Filed under: uncultured bacterium
Lineage: Bacteria
Description: partial 16S ribosomal RNA
Rfam family: Bacterial small subunit ribosomal RNA
Source: RNAcentral
AUUGAACGCUGGCGGCAGGCCUAACACAUGCAAGUCGAACGAGUGGCGGACGGGUGAGUAAUGUCUGGGAAACUGCCUGAUGGAGGGGGAUAACUACUGGAAACGGUAGCUAAUACCGCAUACCAUCAGAUGUGCCCAGAUGGGAUUAGCUUGUUGGUGGGGUAACGGCUAACCAAGGCGACGAUCCCUAGCGGGUCUGAGAGGAUGACCAGCCACACUGGAAAUGAGACACGGUACAGACACCUACGUGAGGCAGAAGUGGGGAAUAUUGCACAAUGGACGCAAGGCUGAUGCAGCCAUGCCGCGUGUAUGAAGAAGGCCUUCGGGUUGUAAAGUACUGUCAGCGGGGAGGCGGUACCAGAAGAAGAAGCACCGGCUAACUCCGUGCCAGCAGCCGCGGUAAUAC